GAGGAGACUGCCGAACGUUGGGACCGGGAGAGGCUAGAGGUACUUCGUGGGGUAAGGGUAAAAUCCUGUAAUCCUAGAAGGACCACCGGUGGCGAAGGCGUCUAGCUAGAACGGAUCCGACGGUGAGGGACGAAGCCCUGGGUCGCAAACGGGAUUAGAUACCCCGGUAGUCCAGGGUGUAAACGCUGCAGACUUGGUGUUGGAGGCCCUUUGGGGGCAUUCAGUGCCGGAGAGAAGUUGUUAAGUCUGCUACUUGGGGAGUACGUCCGCAAGGAUGAAACUUAAAGGAAUUGGCGGGGGAGCACCGACCAACGGGAGGAGCGUGCGGUUUAAUUGGAUUCAACACCGUAAAACUCACCAGGGAAGACUGUUACAUGAAGGCCGGGCUAAAGACUCUGCCAGAUUUUCAGAGGGGAGGUGCAUGG
RNAcentral lists this ribosomal RNA (425 nucleotides) under uncultured archaeon. RNAcentral describes it as "bacterial SSU rRNA". It matches the Rfam family "Archaeal small subunit ribosomal RNA", at positions 577 to 997 of the family's 1478-position model. The record is from RNAcentral.